ACGAACGCUGGCGGCGUGCUUCACACAUGCAAGUCGAGCGGUAAGGCCUUUCGGGGUACACGAGCGGCGAACGGGUGAGUAACACGUGGGUGAUCUGCCCUGCACUUCGGGAUAAGCCUGGGAAACUGGGUCUAAUACCGGAUAUGACCUCCUAUCGCAUGGUGGGUGGUGGAAAGAUUUAUCGGUGCAGGAUGGGCCCGCGGCCUAUCAGCUUGUUGGUGGGGUAAUGGCCUACCAAGGCGACGACGGGUAGCCGACCUGAGAGGGUGACCGGCCACACUGGGACUGAGACACGGCCCAGACUCCUACGGGAGGCAGCAGUGGGGAAUAUUGCACAAUGGGCGAAAGCCUGAUGCAGCGACGCCGCGUGAGGGAUGACGGCCUUCGGGUUGUAAACCUCUUUCAGCAGGGACGAAGCGCAAGUGACGGUACCUGCAGAAGAAGCACCGGCUAACUACGUG
RNAcentral lists this ribosomal RNA (461 nucleotides) under uncultured bacterium. RNAcentral's name for it is "partial 16S ribosomal RNA". It matches the Rfam family "Bacterial small subunit ribosomal RNA", at positions 29 to 507 of the family's 1533-position model. The record is from RNAcentral.